AGAGAGCGGUGGAAAACGAGAGAGACUAUUAAUAGACACGCGCGCACUAGCUUUUCAGUAUCAGUAUGAAGUUCAGGGAAAUCCACUCGCUACGAACAGCUGAUCGCCAAGGUUGCUGCGCGGCCGGCGCUGAUGACGUCGCCUAACGGAAAGCUUUCCCACUCAAUCGAGUGAUUCGAACUGAAAAUGCAAUUGGGCGGAUCGUCUUGUCCAGCUCGGGACUCCAUUCCAUUCAAUCUGAUUCGAUUGACCCGCCUGCAAUCAGAUCUUCCCAGGAACCCACACACGCGGUGACCCAGUUAACUUGUUGUCGCCGAUAUGAAUGAAUAUCGCUUUCAGCCACAGAAUGUGUAUAAGCCAACUCAUGUUCAACCAAAAAAAAAAAGCAGCCAGCACAAGUCACGGGCGAAGAAAGAUGGGCGAAACUCUGAAUACCCUGUAAAAUGAAUCCUGAAGCAAAAAUAUUCUGGAAUCUCGAUAUUCAAUUUUGAUUAUUGUUU
Drosophila melanogaster (fruit fly) is the source of this 500-nucleotide non-coding RNA. Lineage: Eukaryota; Metazoa; Arthropoda; Insecta; Diptera; Drosophilidae. The record is from Ensembl.